RNAcentral lists this ribosomal RNA (401 nucleotides) under uncultured bacterium. RNAcentral's name for it is "bacterial SSU rRNA". It matches the Rfam family "Bacterial small subunit ribosomal RNA", at positions 29 to 416 of the family's 1533-position model. The record is from RNAcentral.
AACGAACGUUAGCGGCGCGCCUAACACAUGCAAGUCGCGCGAGAAAGGGCUUCGGCCCCAGUAAAGCGGCGCACGGGUGAGUAACACGUAGGUCAUCUUCCCUCGAGUGGUGGAUAACUCUCCGAAAGGAGAGCUAAUACAGCAUAAGACCACGGCUUCGCCGAAGUUGUGGCCAAAGCAGACCUCUUCACGAAAGUUUGCGCUUGAGGAUGAGCCUGCGGCCCANCAGCUAGUUGGUAGGGUAACGGCCUACCAAGGCUAAGACGGGUAGCUGGUCUGAGAGGAUGAACAGCCACACUGGAACUGAGACACGGUCCAGACUCCUACGGGAGGCAGCAGUGGGGAAUCUUGCGCAAUGGGCGAAAGCCUGACGCAGCGACGCCGCGUGAGCGAUGAAGGCC